This 1508-nucleotide ribosomal RNA is filed under the name metagenome. RNAcentral describes it as "bacterial LSU rRNA". It matches the Rfam family "Bacterial large subunit ribosomal RNA", at positions 1275 to 2911 of the family's 2925-position model. The record is from RNAcentral.
UCAGUGAUCAGAAGUGAGAAUGUUGACAUGAGUAGCGACAAACAGGGUGAGAGACCCUGUCGCCGAAAGUCCAAGGGUUCCUGCUUAAAGCUAAUCUGAGCAGGGUAAGCCGGCCCCUAAGGCGAGGCCGAAAGGCGUAGUCGAUGGGAACCAGGUUAAUAUUCCUGGGCCAGGAGAUGGUGACGGAUCACAGAGGUAGUUCAUCCUUAUCGGAUUGAAUGGGCUGCUGAGUGGUUCCUGGAAAUAGCCCUCCACAAGACCGUACCCUAAACCGACACAGGUGGACUGGUAGAGAAUACCAAGGCGCUUGAGAGAACCACAUUUAAGGAACUCGGCAAAAUACCUCCGUAAGUUCGCGAGAAGGAGGCCCCGUUUGUACGCAAGUAUGGGCGGGGGGCACAAACCAGGGGGUGGCGACUGUUUACUAAAAACACAGGGCUCUGCGAAGCCGUAAGGCGACGUAUAGGGUCUGACGCCUGCCCGGUGCCGGAAGGUUAAAAGGAGAUGUGCAAGCAUUGAAUUGAAGCCCCGGUAAACGGCGGCCGUAACGAUAACGGUCCUAAGGUAGCGAAAUUCCUUGUCGGGUAAGUUCCGACCUGCACGAAUGGCGUAACGACUUCCCCGCUGUCUCAAAUGUGGACUCAGCGAAAUUGAAUUGUCUGUGAAGAUGCAGACUUCCCGCGGUUAGACGGAAAGACCCCAUGCACCUUUACUAUAGCUUCGCACUGGCAUCAGGAUUGUGAUGUGCAGGAUAGGUGGUAGGCAUUGAAGCAGGAACGCUAGUUCCUGUGGAGCCAUCCUUGAGAUACCACCCUUCGCACUCUUGAUGUCUAACCGCGGCCCGUUAUCCGGGUCCGGGACCCUGCGUGGUGGGUAGUUUGACUGGGGCGGUCGCCUCCCAAAAAGUAACGGAGGCGCGCGAAGGUUGGCUCAGAGCGGUCGGAAAUCGCUCGUUGAGUGCAAUGGCAGAAGCCAGCCUGACUGCAAGACUGACAAGUCGAGCAGAGACGAAAGUCGGCCAUAGUGAUCCGGUGGUCCCGAGUGGAAGGGCCAUCGCUCAACGGAUAAAAGGUACGCUGGGGAUAACAGGCUGAUGAUGCCCAAGAGUCCAUAUCGACGGCAUCGUUUGGCACCUCGAUGUCGGCUCAUCUCAUCCUGGGGCUGGAGCAGGUCCCAAGGGUACGGCUGUUCGCCGUUUAAAGAGGUACGUGAGCUGGGUUUAGAACGUCGUGAGACAGUUCGGUCCCUAUCUGCCGUGGGUGUAGGAUACUUGAGAGGAGUUGCCCCUAGUACGAGAGGACCGGGGUGAACGUUCCACUGGUGGACCAGUUGUCGUGCCAACGGCAGUGCUGGGUAGCUAUGAACGGACAGGAUAAACGCUGAAGGCAUCUAAGCGUGAAGCCCCCCUCAAAACAAGGUAUCCCUUGAGAGCCGUGGAAGACCACCACGUCGAUAGGCCGGAGAUGUAAGCACAGCAAUGUGUUCAGUUGACCGGUACUAAUGGCUCC